RNAcentral lists this ribosomal RNA (426 nucleotides) under uncultured bacterium. RNAcentral's name for it is "bacterial SSU rRNA". It matches the Rfam family "Bacterial small subunit ribosomal RNA", at positions 354 to 796 of the family's 1533-position model. The record is from RNAcentral.
GUAAGGGAUAUUGCGCAAUGGGCGAAAGCCUGACGCAGCAACGCCGCGUGGAGGAUGACGGCCUUCGGGUUGUAAACUCCUUUGGACGCAGACGAGGAAGGACGGUAUGCGUCAAACAAGUCACGGCUAACUACGUGCCAGCAGCCGCGGUAAAACGUAGGUGGCAAGCGUUAUCCGGAUUUACUGGGCGUAAAGCGUGUGCAGACGGGUGUUCAAGUGGUGUAUGAAAUCGCUCGGCUCAACCGGGCGCGGUUAUGCCAGACUGGAUACCUGGAGACAGAGAGAGGGACGUGGAAUUCCGGGUGUAGUGGUGAAAUGCGUAGAGAUCCGGAGGAACCCCUGAGGCGAAGGCGGCGUCCUGGCUCUGUUCUGACGUUCAGACACGACAGCAUGGGGAGCGAACGGGAUUAGAAACCCUAGUAGUCC